RNAcentral lists this ribosomal RNA (254 nucleotides) under uncultured bacterium. Its description in RNAcentral is "partial 16S ribosomal RNA". It matches the Rfam family "Bacterial small subunit ribosomal RNA", at positions 524 to 776 of the family's 1533-position model. The record is from RNAcentral.
UACGGAGGAUCCGAGCGUUAUCCGGAUUUAUUGGGUUUAAAGGGUGCGUAGGCGGCCUAUUAAGUCAGGGGUGAAAGACGGUAGCUUAACUAUCGCAGUGCCUUUGAUACUGAUGGGCUUGAAUGUACUUGAGGUAGGCGGAAUGUGACAAGUAGCGGUGAAAUGCAUAGAUAUGUCACAGAACACCAAUUGCGAAGGCAGCUUACUAAAGUAUGAUUGACGCUGGAGGCACGAAAGCGUGGGGAUCAAACAGG